This 479-nucleotide ribosomal RNA is filed under the name uncultured bacterium. RNAcentral describes it as "bacterial SSU rRNA". It matches the Rfam family "Bacterial small subunit ribosomal RNA", at positions 123 to 588 of the family's 1533-position model. The record is from RNAcentral.
AACCUGCCUGUAAGACUGGGAUAGCUCCGGGAAACCGGAGCUAAUACCGGAUAGUUCCUUGAACCGCAUGGUUCAAGGAUGAAAGACGGUUUCGGCUGUCACUUACAGAUGGACCCGCGGCGCAUUAGCUAGUUGGUGAGGUAACGGCUCACCAAGGCGACGAUGCGUAGCCGACCUGAGAGGGUGAUCGGCCACACUGGGACUGAGACACGGCCCAGACUCCUACGGGAGGCAGCAGUAGGGAAUCUUCCGCAAUGGACGAAAGUCUGACGGAGCAACGCCGCGUGAGUGAUGAAGGUUUUCGGAUCGUAAAGCUCUGUUGUUAGGGAAGAACAAGUGCAAGAGUAACUGCUUGCACCUUGACGGUACCUAACCAGAAAGCCACGGCUAACUACGUGCCAGCAGCCGCGGUAAUACGUAGGUGGCAAGCGUUGUCCGGAAUUAUUGGGCGUAAAGGGCUCGCAGGCGGUUUCUUAAGU